RNAcentral lists this ribosomal RNA (1245 nucleotides) under metagenome. RNAcentral's name for it is "bacterial LSU rRNA". It matches the Rfam family "Bacterial large subunit ribosomal RNA", at positions 1564 to 2818 of the family's 2925-position model. The record is from RNAcentral.
UGAAUACGAGAUGCUACGGCGUCGAAGCAGUCUAUGUCAUACUUCCAAGAAAAGCUUGCACUGUCAUAAACAAAUAAUGCCUGUACCAUAACCGACACAGGUGGGUAGGUAGAGUAUACUAAGGGGCGCGAGAUAACUCUCUCUAAGGAACUCGGCAAAAUGACACCGUAACUUCGGGAGAAGGAGUGCCUUGUUUAUAAGGUUGCGAUAACAAGAUCCAAGCAACUGUUUACCAAAAACACAGGUCUCCGCUAAGUCGUAAGACGAUGUAUGGGGGCUGACGCCUGCCCAGUGCCAGAAGGUUAAAGAAGUUGGUUAGCAUCCGCGAAGCUGAUAACUGAAGCCCUGGUGAACGGCGGCCGUAACUAUAACGGUCCUAAGGUAGCGAAAUUCCUUGUCGGGUAAGUUCCGACCCGCACGAAAGGCGUAAUGAUUUGGAUACUGUCUCGGAGAGGGGCUCGGUGAAAUAGACUUGUCUGUGAAGAUGCGGACUACCUGCACCAGGACAGAAAGACCCUAUGAAGCUUUACUGUAACCUGAAAUUGAAAUUGGACUUUACUUGCGCAGUAUAGGUGGGAGGCGUUGAGAAUAUUCUUGCGGGAUUAUUGGAGCCAUCAGUGAGAUACCACUCUUGUAAUGUUAGAUUUCUAACUUUGUAUCAUUAUCUGGUCAAAGAACAGUUUCAGGCGGGCAGUUUGACUGGGGCGGUCGCCUCCUAAACGGUAACGGAGGCGCACAAAGGUUUCCUCUGAACGGGUAGAAAUCGUAUCUAGAGUGUAAAGGCAUAAGGAAGCUUGACUGUGAGACCUACAAGUCGAGCAGGGACGAAAGUCGGUCUUAGUGAUCUGACGGUGCUGAGUGGAAAGGCCGUCACUCAACGGAUAAAAGUUACUCUAAGGAUAACAGGCUGAUCUCCCCCAAGAGUUCACAUCGACGGGGAGGUUUGGCACCUCGAUGUCGGCUCAUCGCAUCCUGGGGCGGUAGUACGUCCCAAGGGUUGGGCUGUUCGCCCAUGAAAGCGGUACGCGAGCUGGGUUCAGAACGUCGUGAGACAGUUCGGUCCAUAUCCGGUGUAGGCGUUAGAAUAUUGAGAGGAGCCUUCUUUAGUACGAGAGGACCGAGAAGGACAUACCUCUGGUGUACCAGUUAUCGUGCCAACGGUAAACGCUGGGUAGCUAUGUGUGGAGUGGAUAACCGCUGAAAGCAUCUAAGUGGGAAGCCCACCUCAAGAUAAGUAUUCUCAUC